AAAUUGAAGAGUUUGAUCAUGGCUCAGAUUGAACGCUGGCGGCAGGCCUAACACAUGCAAGUCGAACGGUAACAGGAAGCAGCUUGCUGCUUUGCUGACGAGUGGCGGACGGGUGAGUAAUGUCUGGGAAACUGCCUGAUGGAGGGGGGAUAACUACUGGAAACGGUGGCUAAUACCGCAUAACGUCGCAAGACCAAAGAGGGGGACCUUCGGGCCUCUUGCCAUCAGAUGUGCCCAGAUGGGAUUAGCUUGUUGGUGAGGUAACGGCUCACCAAGGCGACGAUCCCUAGCUGGUCUGAGAGGAUGACCAGCCACACUGGAACUGAGACACGGUCCAGACUCCUACGGGAGGCAGCAGUGGGGAAUAUUGCACAAUGGGCGCAAGCCUGAUGCAGCCAUGCCGCGUGUAUGAAGAAGGCCUUCGGGUUGUAAAGUACUUUCAGCGGGGAGGAAGGUGUUGUGGUUAAUAACCGCAGCAAUUGACGUUACCCGCAGAAGAAGCACCGGCUAACUCCGUGCCAGCAGCCGCGGUAAUACGGAGGGUGCAAGCGUUAAUCGGAAUUACUGGGCGUAAAGCGCACGCAGGCGGUCUGUCAAGUCGGAUGUGAAAUCCCCGGGCUCAACCUGGGAACUGCAUUCGAAACUGGCAGGCUUGAGUCUUGUAGAGGGGGGUAGAAUUCCAGGUGUAGCGGUGAAAUGCGUAGAGAUCUGGAGGAAUACCGGUGGCGAAGGCGGCCCCCUGGACAAAGACUGACGCUCAGGUGCGAAAGCGUGGGGAGCAAACAGGAUUAGAUACCCUGGUAGUCCACGCCGUAAACGAUGUCUACUUGGAGGUUGUGCCCUUGAGGCGUGGCUUCCGGAGCUAACGCGUUAAGUAGACCGCCUGGGGAGUACGGCCGCAAGGUUAAAACUCAAAUGAAUUGACGGGGGCCCGCACAAGCGGUGGAGCAUGUGGUUUAAUUCGAUGCAACGCGAAGAACCUUACCUGGUCUUGACAUCCACAGAAGAAUCCAGAGAUGGAUUUGUGCCUUCGGGAACUGUGAGACAGGUGCUGCAUGGCUGUCGUCAGCUCGUGUUGUGAAAUGUUGGGUUAAGUCCCGCAACGAGCGCAACCCUUAUCCUUUGUUGCCAGCGGUUAGGCCGGGAACUCAAAGGAGACUGCCAGUGAUAAACUGGAGGAAGGUGGGGAUGACGUCAAGUCAUCAUGGCCCUUACGACCAGGGCUACACACGUGCUACAAUGGCGCAUACAAAGAGAAGCGACCUCGCGAGAGCAAGCGGACCUCAUAAAGUGCGUCGUAGUCCGGAUUGGAGUCUGCAACUCGACUCCAUGAAGUCGGAAUCGCUAGUAAUCGUGGAUCAGAAUGCCACGGUGAAUACGUUCCCGGGCCUUGUACACACCGCCCGUCACACCAUGGGAGUGGGUUGCAAAAGAAGUAGGUAGCUUAACCUUCGGGAGGGCGCUUACCACUUUGUGAUUCAUGACUGGGGUGAAGUCGUAACAAGGUAACCGUAGGGGAACCUGCGGUUGGAUCACCUCCUUA
RNAcentral lists this ribosomal RNA (1543 nucleotides) under Salmonella enterica subsp. enterica serovar Enteritidis str. EC20120008. RNAcentral's name for it is "bacterial SSU rRNA". It matches the Rfam family "Bacterial small subunit ribosomal RNA". The record is from RNAcentral. Lineage: Bacteria; Pseudomonadati; Pseudomonadota; Gammaproteobacteria; Enterobacterales; Enterobacteriaceae.